RNAcentral lists this ribosomal RNA (516 nucleotides) under Nematoda environmental sample. RNAcentral describes it as "SSU rRNA". It matches the Rfam family "Eukaryotic small subunit ribosomal RNA", at positions 58 to 570 of the family's 1831-position model. Lineage: Eukaryota; Metazoa; Nematoda. The record is from RNAcentral.
UUUAAGCACAAGCAUAAGAAUGGUAAAGCCGCGAAUGGCUCAUUACAACAGCCAUAGUUUACUGGAUCUUACUUUCCUACUUGGAUAACUGUGGUAAUUCUAGAGCUAAUACACGCAUGAAAGCUCUGACCGUUCGGGAGGAGCGCAUUUAUUAGAACAAAACCAAUCGGGCCUUCGGGCCCGCCAGUUGGUGAAUCUGAAUAACUUUGCAGAUCGCACGGUCUCGUACCGGCGACGUAUCUUUCAAAUGUCUGCCUUAUCAACUUUAGAUGGUAGUUUACACGCCUACCAUGGUUGUAACGGGUAACGGAGAAUAAGGGUUCGACUCCGGAGAGGGAGCCUGAGAAAUGGCUACCACAUCCAAGGAAGGCAGCAGGCACGCAAAUUACCCACUCCCGGCACGGGGAGGUAGUGACGAAAAAUAACGAGGCGGUUCUCUACGAGGCCCGCCAUCGGAAUGGGUACAAUUUAAAUCCUUUAACGAGGAUCUAUUGGGAGGGCAAGUCUGGGUGCCAG